Alexandromys fortis (reed vole) is the source of this 1282-nucleotide long non-coding RNA. RefSeq lists it as uncharacterized. Lineage: Eukaryota; Metazoa; Chordata; Mammalia; Rodentia; Cricetidae. The record is from RefSeq and is a predicted model, not a curated record. The transcript is spliced from 2 exons.
GGGCUCCCCACCGUUCCCUUCAGCAGCGCUUGGGGCUAUUGGUCCCGCUAUGCCUCGGAGCUGGAAACUGCCUUCAGUUAUCCUGUAGGCUAUGUGAUCUCCAAGCGUGGGAACCAGAGGGGAGAUAGUGAUAGUAGAUUAGGUGGAUCUUGAGCAGAAGUGAGAAGAUUGCCUGGUGGUUCUUUUUAAAAAGCUCCCGUUUGCUGGGAUUACAGGUGUUUGUCGUGGAACCUGGCUGAUAUUUUUCCAUCCUCAAAUACCAGAAGAGUCUUACUAUGCAGCCUAAACUAGAAUUUGUGAUUCUCAUGCCUCAGCCUCCUGAUGGGAUUACAGGCAAGGGAGCAUGUUACAACUCUACACUCUGCUGAUACUGUUUCAACAAAAAGAACCAAAUUUUUUUUGAAGAUUGUAUUUACUUAUAAAAAUAUAAUAAAAACAGAUGGCUUGCAAGACUGAAUCAAAAUUGACCUUGACGACAGAACACGUUUUUCAUCUUUAUAUUUAAGAUCUACCAGUUCACCAUUAGCAAUCAAUAAAUGCUAAUAAUAUCCAAGAAUCUUAUGUUAUAAUUAUAACACUAUAAGACACAAAACAAAAUUACAAAAGGAAAUUUAUUUCAAAAGCAUAAGGGAACAUUUACAUUUAAACAAGGGGAUAAACAGGUGUCUUGAAGAAGAAAAAACAUAUUUAUGGCAUGAAGAUUUUCAUUCAAAUCUCUGAAGCAAAAGAACAGUAAGUUAUGCACUAUUGCCUAGGCAAGGUAAGGGGAACAAAGGGAAGAGGGAGGAAUGCAGUGAGCUCUGCAUCAGACAUGAGGUCAAGUUAUUUCUGCUGAGUUUACAAAUACACUCAGACAAGAGAAAGGAAAAAUUACACCAUGUUCAAAAUUAUAUUGCUGUAGUCCAAUUUAUUUUUGUACUCAAAAUGGUGUUAGACCAUGGCUGAUGUAUCUGAGGUCCAUACUAGAUGGUCAGUUUUCAACUGGCAAUCCCAUGUUCCUACGUCUGUUCAGAUUCCAAGGGAGCCCAGGUUCAGCUCAAUCAUGUGGAAUGUUCAGAGAUUAUUGCCAGCACUCCAUAGUCAAGCUGACCAACUUGUUGUGCUCACUUGUAUCAUCUAGACUUCUAGACUAUUUUCUCCAUAAAUUAUAUGCAGUAAUUCUCACAAAGGGGUUUUGCUUUUUUCCCAGUAAGAAGUAAUGGUAACGAGGACACCCGUGCAGGAAUCGAAACCUCAAAACAAAACAAAAAAAAACCCAACAACAAAACUACUAGCAAUGACA